This 125-nucleotide non-coding RNA is filed under the name Actinomycetota bacterium. RNAcentral's name for it is "Actinobacteria bacterium FMN sequence". It matches the Rfam family "FMN riboswitch aptamer (RFN element)". Rfam says of the family: The RFN element is a highly conserved domain that is found frequently in the 5'-untranslated regions of prokaryotic mRNAs that encode for flavin mononucleotide (FMN) biosynthesis and transport proteins. This element is a metabolite-dependent riboswitch that directly binds FMN in the absence of proteins. Lineage: Bacteria; Bacillati; Actinomycetota. The record is from RNAcentral.
AUAAAUUUUCAAGGAUAGGUGAAACCCCUUACCGGCGGUCAGAGUCCGCAACCCUGCAUAAAACACAGGUUGAUUUAGUGAAAUUCUAAAACCGACAGUCAAAGUCUGGAUGGGAGAAAAUUUUG